AGUACCACGGGCGAGUGACGUGAUAUCACCUGAUGUGAGGAUUGUAGUUGAGAAAUCACUCUCUCUCCAUAGCUGGUCAUUGCUCGACAAGCACCACUCUCUUUCCAUCUGCUCCUGGUUUGGUGGACAUGGCUCUCUCCAUGUGCUUUUGGUCUGGGGAACAUGGCUCUCUCCAUCUGCUCCUAGUCCUGGAAUCAUCCCUCUCAUCUCUGUUUGUUUGUUAUUUACACUCUAUUUUGAAGUUGACCACUAACUGACACUAAGCAACACGAGAUGGCAGACCGCAAGCAACAGGAACUGGCAGCUACCACCACAUGAUGGAGCAGUGGGAAUAUACAAUGGCAUCUUCCACUCAAUGGAGCAGCUGGAACACGGGCUUCUAGUCACCACAGAAUGGAGCAGCAACAGCAGUAACUGGCGUCUACCAUACGAUGGAGCAGCAACAGCAGUAACUGGCGUCUACCAUACGAUGGAGCAGCAACAACAGUAACUGGCGUCUACCAUACGAUGGAGCAACAACAGUAGUAACUGGCGUCUACCAUACGAAGGAGCAGCAACAGUAGUAACUGACAUCUACCAUACGAUGGAGCAGCAACAGCAGUAACUGGCGUCUAUCAUACGAAGGAGCAGCAUCAGUAGUAACUGACAUCUACCAUACGAUGGAGCAGCAACAGCAGUAACUGGCGUCUACCAUACGAUGGAGCAGCAACAGUAGUAACUGACAUCUAUCAUACGAUGGAGCAGCAACAGUAGUAACUGACAUCUAUCAUACGAUGGAGCAGCAACAGUAGUAACUGGCGUCUACCAUACGAUGGAGCAGCAACAGUAGUAACUGACAUCUACCAUACGAUGGAGCAGCAACAGCAGUAACUGGCGUCUACCAUACGAUGGAGCAGCAACAGUAGUAACUGACAUCUAUCAUACGAUGGAGCAGCAACAGUAGUAACUGACAUCUAUCAUACGAUGGAGCAGCAACAGUAGUAACUGACAUCUAUCAUACGAUGGAGCAGCAACAGUAGUAACUGGCGUCUACGAUACGAUGGAGCAGCAACAGUAGUAACUGAUAUAUACCAUACGAUGGAGCAGCAACAGUAAUAACUGGCGUCUACCAUACGAUGGAGCAGCAACAGUAGUAACUAGCAUCUACCAUCGAUGGAGCAGAAACAGUAAUAACUGGCGUCUACCAUACGAUGGAGGAGCAGAAACAUGAUAUAUUAGCUACCAGACGGUGCAGCAGCAGACACAUAAUAUAUCAGCUACCAGACGGUGGAGCAGCAGACACAUGACAUAUCAGCUACCAGACGGUGGAGCAGCAGA
Molecule: long non-coding RNA, 1317 nt
Organism: Cherax quadricarinatus
Lineage: Eukaryota; Metazoa; Arthropoda; Malacostraca; Decapoda; Parastacidae
Source: RefSeq, a predicted model, not a curated record